RNAcentral lists this long non-coding RNA (227 nucleotides) under Mytilus galloprovincialis (Mediterranean mussel). The record is from RNAcentral. Lineage: Eukaryota; Metazoa; Mollusca; Bivalvia; Mytilida; Mytilidae.
GUGCCUUUCCCAAGUCAGGAGCCUGUAAUUCAGUGGUUGUCGUUUGGUUAUGUGUUACAUAUUUGUUUUUCGUUCAUUUUUCUUUUAUAUAAUAAGGCCGUUAUUUUCUCGUUUGAAUUGUUUUACAUUGUCUUAUCGGGGCCUUUUAUAGCUGACUAUGCGGUAUGGGCUUUGCUCAUUGUUGAAGGCCGUACGGCGACCUAUAAUUGUUAAUGUCUGCGUUAUUU